RNAcentral lists this ribosomal RNA (450 nucleotides) under Celeribacter sp. RNAcentral's name for it is "bacterial SSU rRNA". It matches the Rfam family "Bacterial small subunit ribosomal RNA", at positions 154 to 639 of the family's 1533-position model. Lineage: Bacteria; Pseudomonadati; Pseudomonadota; Alphaproteobacteria; Rhodobacterales; Roseobacteraceae. The record is from RNAcentral.
AAACUGGGUUUAAUACCGUAUACGCCCUUCGGGGGAAAGAAUUUCGGUGAGGGAUCGGCCCGCGUUAGAUUAGUUAGUUGGUGGGGUAAUGGCCUACCAAGACUACGAUCUAUAGCUGGUUUGAGAGGAUGAUCAGCAACACUGGGACUGAGACACGGCCCAGACUCCUACGGGAGGCAGCAGUGGGGAAUCUUAGACAAUGGGGGCAACCCUGAUCUAGCGAUGCCGCGUGAGUGAUGAAGGCCUUAGGGUCGUAAAGCUCUUUCGCCUGUGAUGAUAAUGACAGUAGCAGGUAAAGAAACCCCGGCUAACUCCGUGCCAGCAGCCGCGGUAAUACGGAGGGGGUUAGCGUUGUUCGGAAUUACUGGGCGUAAAGCGCACGUAGGCGGAUUAGUCAGUCAGAGGUGAAAUCCCAGGGCUCAACCCUGGAACUGCCUUUGAUACUGCUAU